GCCAGGUGUAGUGGUGUGUGCCUGUAGUCCCAGCUACUUGGGAGGCUGAGGUGGGAGGAUUGCUUGAGCCCAGGAGGUUGAGGCUGCAGUGAGCCGAGAUAGCACCACUGCACCCCAGCCUGGGUGACAAAGCAAGACCCUGUCUCAA
Molecule: unclassified non-coding RNA, 148 nt
Organism: Macaca mulatta (Rhesus monkey)
Lineage: Eukaryota; Metazoa; Chordata; Mammalia; Primates; Cercopithecidae
Rfam family: Metazoan signal recognition particle RNA
About the family: The signal recognition particle (SRP) is a universally conserved ribonucleoprotein. It is involved in the co-translational targeting of proteins to membranes.
Source: Ensembl